RNAcentral lists this small RNA (29 nucleotides) under Bombyx mori (domestic silkworm). Its description in RNAcentral is "ovarian small RNA-5553". Lineage: Eukaryota; Metazoa; Arthropoda; Insecta; Lepidoptera; Bombycidae. The record is from RNAcentral.
UAAACGCUAGAUGGCGUUACACCGCUUGC